This is an RNA transcript of Odontomachus brunneus, 3424 nucleotides long. RefSeq lists it as uncharacterized. The transcript is spliced from 9 exons. NCBI's taxonomy places the organism in Eukaryota, Metazoa, Arthropoda, Insecta, Hymenoptera, Formicidae. The record is from RefSeq and is a predicted model, not a curated record.
UACUGUAAAAUUUUCAAAAAAUCAAUUUUUUGUUUAUUGGCUUAAAAAAUACUUUGAACCCUCUAAAAUAAGGUACAUUAGGUGUUAUAGCCGGCUAAAUUUUUCUUCAUUGAAAUUUCGACCUUUUACCGAAGCGCUCCGAAACGCGUACCUGCGGCAAAUUCCUAUCUGUUCGGCAGGUACAGCGUAGUGACUUGCAAUUCAAUUUCUAACAUUUCUAAUACUCCAAGUCGAUCAACAGAUGUCACUAGGUAUAUUUUAUAGUCAGUUAGAAGCGAUUUCAACAGUAAGGACGCCGGUAGUGCGUAAUUUUAAGGGCCAGUGUGUCGAACAGCUGUGAUCGUUUCGGCGUUUCCCGCGUGGCUAACGUAUAGUUUUUAUACUUUUAUCAAAAUGAAGCCUGCUUCUUUCGACCGAAAGGGUUCACGCGAAACUCCCGGACGACCUUCACGACGUAGGAAAAGACCGUCGCCACCAAAUCGCCAUACGAUGGAGAAUGAAACGGAAUCGACAAGUUCUUCCGCGAAAAAAUUAAGAACGAAAUCGGUGGAAGUGGAAAUUAAUAAUGGCUAUGGAUACCGUUUGAUUGAAUUUUUAUUCUUGUUUCAAACGCUGAGGAUAUACACAGAACAGCAACGAGAGCCUGAAUGCGAUGAUCUGGUCGUUAGCUCCGAAACAAACAUUCAGCGGCGCAAAAACCGUCGAUAUUGCGUCGUAUUGUGCUGCGAGCAUUUUCAAUAAAGGCUACUCCAGUAUCCUCAAAAUGAUGGACGUUAUGAACAUCAAAAUUGGACCAAACGCCUUCAAUUUAUGCAACACCGUGGACGAGCGCAGAAUAUCACAAGCAAACGAACGGUCGUUCGACGCUUCAAAAGAAGGGAGAAUCGAGAGAAGAACGGCGCGAUCGGCACUCGAAGAGGAUUUCCUUGAACAAGAAGGUGUACUAUAUGAAGCAGGAAUGGGCGAUUAAUGAUCACCCAGACGUGAGAUUUCAUGUACACCGUUUGGGCACCUAAAAAAAACGGACCUGCGCUUGAAGGAGUGCCACGACGGCAAUUUUGAAUAUUUCGACUUGAAAAUUUUUUUACAAAUACUUGAAUAUAUAAUAAAGAUGACGGUUUAAUUUAAUUUAAUGUACGAGUCAUAUUUUGUUAGAAAAAAAAUCCGGAAAAUCGGCCUGUUUUUUCCCUUGUCACAGUAGACUUCCCCCUUAACACAUUGUUGACUGAUGUGGGAGAUGUUGGAUGUCGGAACGCAGCCGAUGGUCCAAUGAGGAGAACUCAUUCUCGAAAAUAAAUUCUGUCAUUGGACCAUCGCAUCUGCGUUCCGACAUUCAACUCCGACAUACGGCGUAUUGUGUUCCAGACCUUAGGCCGGUUCUACAAUACGUCGUACGUCGCUGUCGAACGUCGGAACACAGUUGAUGGUCCAAUAAGGAGAAUUCGUCUCGAAAAACAAAUCCUUUGAUUAGUCCAUCGGCUGUAUUCCGACAGCGACAUACGAUAUAUUGUAGAACAGGCUUGAAACAGACUCGGAACGCUAUAUGCGCGAUCGGCGUAUGUUACAACUAACCAAUCAGAUUCUUUCCCGCUUUUCAGGUCUCUAUCAGUCUCUAUCUCUCUAUAAGUAGAAGUACUUCGUUCCAUUCUCUUUCUGUGAAUAACAUUGUGUGGUUCGCAAGCAAAUCAAUUAGGUUGCAAAUCAGGUCUCAGCAUCAUAUUGGUACAAUUGUUACUUUUGGUCAGUUUUGUUCAUGCACUACCACAGGCAGAACAUUGGGAUAGUUUGAUCAUCAUGAAAUGGAUAUGCAGUGAAAUGGCCCGAUUCUUUGUAGUUGAAUUUGAAGACGAACUACAUUUAGUACCCUGUAUACGGUUACUCGGAAAAUCUGAAUGCUUUUGGCCACCAUAUGAAAAUUACAAACUAAUAAACAAAGCAGUUUCUGAAUGCAGAGAAAUAGAUACCGAAAAAUGGAAAAUAGUAAAAACAGUCCGUAUUUUUGCAACAGCAAGUAAGUGAAUGAAUGAUUACUUCAAAUAUAUAUUGAUACGUAAUAAAAAGCAAUUUCUUUUCUAAAAUAAACUUUACAAUAUACAUAUACACGGUUCCAUGAAUAUCUUCCUGCAUAAAAUUCAAACCACAACUAGACGUAUUCGUAUUAUCCUGUAUCUGGAUGCAUCAUGUUGAUUAUUUACAAAAAUAACAACUUUUCAAAGCGAUUGACCUGACAGCUCAACAUGUUUUCGAUAUGUGAUACAUACGAGAGUGGAAUGGCCAAGGUGAAACUGGCAGAAAAGUUAUCUGAUAUAGAUUCAUCAGUUAAUGAAAAUAAUAAACAAAAUCGUCAAAAUAGGGCGAAAAAAAAUAUUCAUUCCGACGAUGAAUAUGAGGAUUUACGUUGUAUGUUACUUCCACCGCCAAAAAAACCAACUACGCUCUCUAUGAACAAGCCUUCAGAAUACUCUUUGAAGAGUCCAAAUAGAGAACAUUCAAGAUUAUCAAAUAAAACAAGUUAUGAGCAGAAAGAAAAUUGUAAUCGUACAGAUUUAUCAUCAUCUUCGCUAUUUCAUGCUAAACAAGAAGUUACUUCUCGUGAUACCAUAAAUGAAUCUGCGCGUGAGGUUUUGAAAAAGCCAAUUGCAACCAUUGACUCAAGGAUGUUAAAUGUUAACAAUUGUAAUUCAACAAUUUUAGAGGAUAUGGAACUCAAAAGAGAAUUAUACGUAAGUGCAAUAAAAUGGAUUCAAAGUUGAAUUGUAUUGAUGGGAGAUUGAGAAAUCUCGAAGAAAAGCUAGAAAGCGGCAUAAAUGUUAAAAAAGAUGAAUAUUUUAAUAUUGAAGACAUUGUAUGUUUGCCUUUAAAAACCAUUGGCGAUAUGACAAAAUUAGAAUUGGAUUUGCAAGAUACAAAUUUCUUUAACCAUAUGAUAACUUUUAUGAGGCAGUUAGGUGAAAAAACAUAUCAUGACAUGAUAAUUACAAUUCUGAAAAAUUUUAUUACUAAUUACGUUUCGAUGCUAUAUUAUUGGAAUGGCAAAGAUGCUAAGAAAGCAGCUUUUAAAGAUUUGUUAUUAACUAAGUGCAUAAAACAAUGUGUUCAUGCGAAAUUCCAAACAGAUGACAAACAAAUAAAUGAAGUUAUCUCCAAAUGGUUAAUUCAAGUCAAAUUGCGUCAUGACAGAGAUAUGGAACGAUUACAGCGAAAGCAACAAAAAGAACUGGCAGAGGCAGAGUCAUUUUAGUUUUUAGUUCGACGUUUCGACGUGUGUUACGAUGCGCUUUACAAUACUUUAUUUUUUAAAUUUAAAAGUUUAUUUUGUAUGUUUACAUUGGAAAGUUUAUUAAGUUGUGUUGAAAAACAUGUUCAACAACAUUGAUAAUAUGUAUAAAUUACACUGACAAAUUUUGUUUUCAAACUAGUAUAC